AUUCCAGCUCCAAUAGCGUAUAUUAAAGUUGUUGUGGUUAAAAAGCUCGUAGUUGGAUCUCGGCGGUCUGAGGGCGGUUCGCUUCAGAGCGCUACUGCCCUAUAGACCGUAGUUUUGCCAGAGGUCUCAGGGUGCUCUUAACCGAGUGUCUUGCGAUGCUGGCAGGUUUACUUUGAAAAAAUUAGAGUGCUCAAAGCAGGCUUUUACGCCUGAAUAUUCGUGCAUGGAAUAAUAGAAUAGGAAGUCGUUUCUAUUUUGCUGGUUUUCGGAAAUCGACUUAAUGAUUAAUAGGGUCAGUUGGGGGUAUUCGUAUUCCGUUGUCAGAGGUGAAAUUCUUGGAUUUACGGAAGACGAACGACUGCGAAAGCAUUUACCAAGGAUGUUUUCAUCG
This 391-nucleotide ribosomal RNA is filed under the name Pseudocalanus sp. RNAcentral's name for it is "partial small subunit ribosomal RNA". It matches the Rfam family "Eukaryotic small subunit ribosomal RNA", at positions 582 to 975 of the family's 1831-position model. The record is from RNAcentral. Lineage: Eukaryota; Metazoa; Arthropoda; Copepoda; Calanoida; Clausocalanidae.